NAUAGGGAUCUAAUCCUAGUUAUCUUCUAAGGUUUAGUACUGUUAAAUCCUCUUUACAUUAGGUUUUAAAGUUAAUGUGUGCUUAAGGGUAAAUUGUAGCUCAUUGUGUCUAUAAAAUACGCUGCACCAUGGCCUGUUUUUAUUGAGGCAUCUCGGUAAUAAAACUUUUUAGUGGUUAACUUCUACGGCGGUAUACAUACAUAUUUAUAGUAAGGUAUUCGGUGUGGUGUCGUUUAGGCAACAAGCUCCUCUAAUUUGGUGAAUUGCCCGCCAAAUUCUUUGGGUUUGAGGUGUAUAAGUAAUUACUACCCUCCAUUGGUUUAUUCAGGAAUAAUAGGGGAUCUAAUCCUAGUUUA
RNAcentral lists this ribosomal RNA (356 nucleotides) under Typhlocirolana sp. 2-BA2001. RNAcentral's name for it is "partial 12S ribosomal RNA". The record is from RNAcentral. Lineage: Eukaryota; Metazoa; Arthropoda; Malacostraca; Isopoda; Cirolanidae.